UACGUAGGGAGCAAGCGUUGUCCGGAAUCAUUGGGCGUAAAGAGCUCGUAGGCGGUCUGUCGCGUCCGCCGUGAAAGCCCACAGCUUAACUGUGGGUCUGCAGUGGAUACGGGCAGACUAGAGGCAGGUAGGGGAGAACGGAAUUCCCGGUGUAGCGGUGAAAUGCGCAGAUAUCGGGAGGAACACCGGUGGCGAAGGCGGUUCUCUGGGCCUGUACUGACGCUGAGGAGCGAAAGCGUGGGGAGCGAACAGG
RNAcentral lists this ribosomal RNA (253 nucleotides) under uncultured bacterium. RNAcentral's name for it is "partial 16S ribosomal RNA". It matches the Rfam family "Bacterial small subunit ribosomal RNA", at positions 524 to 776 of the family's 1533-position model. The record is from RNAcentral.